Molecule: ribosomal RNA, 321 nt
Filed under: uncultured Pseudomonadota bacterium
Lineage: Bacteria; Pseudomonadati; Pseudomonadota
Description: bacterial SSU rRNA
Rfam family: Bacterial small subunit ribosomal RNA
Source: RNAcentral
AUUGAACGCUGGCGGCAUGCCUUACACAUGCAAGUCGAACGGCAGCACGGGAGCAAUCCUGGUGGCGAGUGGCGAACGGGUGAGUAAUGUAUCGGAACGUACCUUUCAGUGGGGGAUAACGUAGCGAAAGUUACGCUAAUACCGCAUAUUCUGUGAGCAGGAAAGAGGGGGAUCGCAAGACCUCUUGCUUUAGGAGCGGCCGAUGUCGGAUUAGCUAGUUGGUGAGGUAAAGGCUCACCAAGGCGACGAUCCGUAGCGGGUCUGAGAGGAUGAUCCGCCACACUGGGACUGAGACACGGCCCAGACUCCUACGGGAGGCAG